GUGGAGCAUGUGGCUUAAUUUGACUCAACGCGGGAAAUCUUACCGGGUCCGGACACACUGAGGAUUGACAGAUAUACGCUGCGUUAUGUCUCUCACGGGACUGCGUGGCUCAAAGAUGCUAGUUCUUUCAUGAUUAUGUGAUAGGUGGUGCAUGGCCGUUCUUAGUUCGUGGAGUGAUCUGUCUGCUUAAUUGCGUAUCAAUAAUAGAGACCUAGUAUACGUGCAUUACUCAUGUGGUAGUGACCCCCUCUUCGCGGAGGCGCGUGUCGCACAUAUGGUAUGCGCACUGGUCUCAGAUAGCAACGAACGUGACCGUAUUCUAUUGUUGCAGUGAAUUAUACGUGCUGCUCUUUACCGAGUUAGUUACAUCCCACUGCUUAGUGUGCGCGGCGUAUUUCGGUACUCGCGUCACACAUUAAACUAUAGAGACCGCUGUUUCUUCUUUAAACCAGAGGAAGGAUAC
This 463-nucleotide ribosomal RNA is filed under the name Ammonia sp. T15. RNAcentral's name for it is "SSU rRNA". It matches the Rfam family "Eukaryotic small subunit ribosomal RNA", at positions 1176 to 1448 of the family's 1831-position model. The record is from RNAcentral. Lineage: Eukaryota; Foraminifera; Rotaliida; Rotaliidae.